GUCCCAUGUCGGGUACAGAGGUUACUUAAAAAAUAAAUAUUAAAAAAAAAAAAAUCAACAAAACUAUCUGCUUAAAUAUGUCCACGAUUUGCAGCUUGGAUGAAUAUGUACUAAGAUAGUAAAUCAGUGGCCAAAUGUUCGUGUUUUCUUUUUUGAGGACUUAAGGAGAUGGGGAGGGGCAUCAGAAGGCCAACAAAUAUAUUUCCAAUUUUUCCAGAAUAAAAGAAGGUAGAUUCCCCAGAGAGGCUGGUGGAGCUUGGAGCUUGAUGUUAUACCUGUGUAAGGUUCUAGAAAGUAUUUCUAAAGAGAUGAUUUCUGAGCAUUUUGGAAAGGAAACCAUGUACCCACAGCCAGCAUGGAUUCACGAAGAAUAAGGAAACUGGAGUCUAGAAAUGUUGGGUGAAGUCAGGCUGUAAAUGGGGAAGCCAGAAUUUGAACCCAGGCAGUCUGCCUCCAGAGCCCACUCUGAGGAAACAAAAUUCUGAAUCCGUCCUGUAACAUUAAACAGUGUGAUGCUGCUGCCCCAGAGCUACAUGCGACCACAUAGUGUCUGACCUAAGGAGCUGACGAUGGUCUCCCCCCACUAUAAGCCAUUAAGGUAACAACACAUAAAUGUGCUCCGUUCCAGGCACUACACUUUAAGAGGCACAUAGACAAAUAUAUGACUUUCAGAAGACAGUAGAUGGUGAGGGGGACUCAGAACCUGUCGUGUGAGGAGUGGUUAAAGGAACUUGGACGUAUUUAGCCUGGAGAAGAGAAGACUCGGUAGGAACUUGCUGUGAGAGCACCACAUGUAUGUGAGGUGGGGACCUGUAGAAAGUGGGUUGAACCUAUUUCUGUCGGCUCUGGCAAUUUCUGGAAAUAACCAGGGGAUAGGUUUGACUCCAGCGGAGGGAGAACUUUCUAACCCUUAAGAGCUCCGAAGGAGAAUCACACAGUUGGGAGAAUUGAGUCUUUUGUCUUGGGACAUGGUCAAGCACCAAGGAGGAAAACGAGCCACACAACUUGCCAGGGCUCUGUGAAAUCAAGUGGCAUUACCUCAGGGACCCCAGGGCCAUCUCUGCCACAUGGUGUUUGAGGCCCCAACUUACGAGCUUUUAAGAAUCUUUUCAAAUUAGCAUACCCUAAAAGUUGGCUGCUCAUUCUGCUGGGCUCGGGAGAUGACCCCUGCCUUCCUCCCAGUCCUGCCAGGGCCUGGGGUAUACUAGAACUUAGAUAGGGAAGAAAUCAGAGAUCCCACUCCUUCCCCACACUGCUAGCAGACCCAGCACCUCCUGGUCUGGGACUACAGGGCAUUCUGGAAAUUCUGCAGGUUGCUGACCGCUGACUGCAUGACCUUUCCCCUUUGUCUUCUCCGUUGAGUUCUGUCCCCCACUGUGGUUUGAACUCAGCAGAGCUCUUGGCUCUAGCCCCAAGGCUGAGGUUCCUUCUCAUCUCUCAGUAGGUAGAGGCUCUGCCCAAGUCCCCACCUCUUUUCCCUGCUUAGAAUCCGCCUUCUUCGGGGCUGGCUCUCAGCAGUUGCUCCUUCCCUACAGAUGUGUCACUCCUGUCCAGGCCCUGGUGUGUCCUGUCUUGACAAGGAGCUUUCAUCCUGUGCUGUGUUGGGGUUUGGCUCCUACUUCAGCAGUCUCAGAGCUCCCCUUCAGUCUCCCAACCCCAAGGCUGUGAGAUUUGAUUCCCAAAUUGACAGCAGGUUCCUGAGUUUCCUGGUGUCUUGAAACCAGAUGGUGAUAGAAUCUUCCCCAGAUGGCGAAAUGUUUGAGUCCCCCUUUUCCUGUCCGGCCCAGCUGUGAGGCUCUUGCUUCUAUUUGAGAUCUAUCCUUCAGAGUACUUUCCUUACUCAGAACUUCAAUAAAAAUCUGUUGUACCACAUAUUUAGACUUUUGCUUUCUAGAGCAAUAUUUUAUACCUACCUGUCCCUAAUAUCAACCCCAGUUGAGAGCCACUAUCUUUAAGACCCCUGCCUUGGGCAUUUUCUUCUGUCAGAUUACGGCAAAGCCACAAACACUAGGUUCCUUUUGUUGUACUUCCUUAUAUUGGUCUCCAGGAUGACUUAACCACAGAAAAAGUGGAAAUGACGCUUACCUUUGCACGGAUCCUGACACACUAAUCCUUUAGUUGGCUUACUCAUUUGUUCAUUCAGCUCACACCUCGAGCCUGAGAGCCUGAGUGCCAGCCCCGUGUCAGGCACUGUUUUGUUAGGUGCUGAGGCUCAACAGUGAACGAAACAAAUCCUUGCCCUUGAGGGUCCUGCGCAGGGAGGACCGCCGUAAACAGACAACAGUAGCAUGGAGGAGGAAGGCCUUUAACAAGCAUCCUUGAUGUAUUUGACGUCUUGUGUACCUCUCUCCUGGAUAGUUGACUCCCGGAUAACUGACUCCUGCGGGCCAGUAUGCUAAGAUACAAAUUCUCCUUUCCCUCCCUGCCCGUACCAUCUCCUGCCCCAUUUGGGGAAGCUUCAUGGCAUUUCUUUUCCAGCUUCUUGAGGAUGCUCAAACGUCAGGUUUUCUAAUUUUCUCAAUUUUAUCCCCAAAGGGAAUUUGGAAAAAAUUAGAUAGGUCUUUCCUGGGCAUACAGUACAUACCCUAUCCAGCAGUUUGAACACCUGUAAAUCUUUGGGGUGGUUAGAAGCCUUCUUAAAAGCAUACUUUGAAGAUUGCUUGAUAUAAUAUUUUCCCAAAACUAUUCCCUGCUUUUGUUGGUUCAUUCAUUUAUCAAAUAUUAAGCUCUUACUAUGUGCUGGGCAUUGCAUGGGUGCUGGGUAUUCAAAGAUUAGUAAAAUAGACAUGACUAUUAUAUAUUUAGAACAUAGAGUCUAGCAUGAGAGAGAUGAUAAUCCCACAGAC
Molecule: long non-coding RNA, 2846 nt
Organism: Mustela erminea (ermine)
Lineage: Eukaryota; Metazoa; Chordata; Mammalia; Carnivora; Mustelidae
Exons: 2
Source: RefSeq, a predicted model, not a curated record